Molecule: long non-coding RNA, 3443 nt
Organism: Camelus dromedarius (Arabian camel)
Lineage: Eukaryota; Metazoa; Chordata; Mammalia; Artiodactyla; Camelidae
Exons: 7
Source: RefSeq, a predicted model, not a curated record
AUAGAUUUAGCAAGGUGGGUGGAGGGCGACUCGGGAAACUGUAGGGUGAGGGAAAAAAGGAGGAAAGAACAAAACUGUCCACAUGAGACUUUGCUGCUGGGUUGUGAGCUAUUCUUAUCCUGUCAGCACAAUUAAUGAGGGAAAAAUAGUCCCCAGAAGAAAUGUGGCUGGAGGCACUGAUCUGCCCUCCAUCCCCCUCGCGCCAAGAGGGACAAAGUCUAGAGAAAGUAUCCCCAGCGGAGUUACUGGGAAAGCGACUGCUUGGCCCUGGGUAAAACUUUGAGAUCAACUUCAGGGGCAAGUUAAUUUAGGGCCAAGUGUAGGCACAGAACUGCAAACGCAAAGGAAGAAUCUCUCUCCUCAAAUCGUGUACAGCGUAUCUGGGGAGCGAACAGCAACACACUAGACAUGACGAAAGGACCUCACAAAGCAGUGGGUCAGCCCCAGCUGGCCCAUGAGGGUCACAGCAGUUUUCAGGGUCUUGGUCUACAGUCAGCCCUGCUCCUGGUGGAAGAUGCUUCUGUUCCCAUGCAGACCACGGAGGCGGCAGGAGGCGGACAGGGGAGGUUAUGACAUGCCCAGGGUGAGCCAUUCGAAGACACUUGUUUUCCUGCUGGUACAUCUUACAUCUCAUGUUGCUGGCAUGGCUGAGUUGGCUGGUCAGCAAGCAGAGGAAAGGUGCUAUGUGAAAAGGAAACCUGAGCUGGUGAUGAGGGCUAACUCUUUAACACACAACCCCACGUCACAGUGCCUUAACACAACAGAAGUUACAUCUUGCUCAUGGAACCAUUUAACGUCAGUGUCUGACGAAUGGGACUGGAUGGAGUGGGGAGGAGGAGGAAACAGACUGACUUCCCGCACUUAUUUUGACAAACGCUGGGUGUCGAGACUGCCAAGCAGAGCCCAGCUGAGUCCAGAAGCAUCCGCCAUUGGAUGCCGAGAGUGGUGAUUUUGGUGCUUUAAAACGAAAUCUGGCUCCCAGGAGGGAAGAGAAGCGCUUUCUCACCGAGGAUAAGACCCUGGGGGAGGGACAGGGCUCAAGUCUCAUGGCUUGCCCAGGGACGGGCACAUGAAUGGCUCAAUAAGUAUUUGCUGAUGUUGAAUUGAUGAAUGAAGACAGUUACGCAGACAUGAACACAGUGAGAGACUGGAGGAGUCUGACUGCAUUCCCAUGCCAUGUACUGAGUGCUUGUGAUUCUGAAACCGUGAACCUGCGGCAGAAAAGUAAGGCACCUCUGGGUCCUUGAGGCAGCAGUGAUUUCUCCAAGAGCAAAGACUGCACGUAAGAUGCUGGCCCGCCUGCUGCCCUACCUGUCUCUCAGGUUUGUGUGAAGACCAGCUGUGAUGACAAUACAUGGCACAGGAAUGUGUUUUGCUAACUGCAAAGCAGCAGAACAACGUGAGUUAUUACCCUCUUUUCACUGUUUUCUGCAUGGAAUUGAAAGUUUGAAAGUCACAGAAUGAGCUGUAGAUUCGUAUCCAAAUCAUGUGCGAUGAAUCCUAUUUUCACAAGGUUAUGCUCCACUGAAAUGCAGUUUACGUGUUUCCCUAACUGUCAGAAGCAACCUACACUUAGUAAGGAGGGCAGGAGCCCCAAGGUAAGGCAUAUUGCGGGUGCUGGUGUGCUCUAGAGACUAGGAGGCUGUCAAGGAGAGAAAAGAAGAAAAGGGAAAAGAAAGAGAUGGAAGAAGGAAGGAGGGAAGGAAGGAAGGAAGAAUUCAUGAUGGCUUUAACAGAACUAUUUGCAAUUCGUCCUGAGUGACCAGGGGCAACCACCCAUAAGACCAUCCAAAGGAAAAUCUUGUUAAAAUGAGAUCAUAUUUCCCCUCAGAAAAGAAGAUAGAACGUGGCAGGUGAGUUUGAAUUGCACGUUCACCUUGUUUGAUUUCUCUCCACUGGGUGACGGUCUCAGGAACCCACGCCACAUCGGGCAGGGCAGCCAGCACUGCUCAGGGACAGCGCAAGCCCAGAAGCUAGACGCCUCCUGUGAGGAACUGUUGAUAAAACAAAUCUUCGUCAAUGUACAAAUUAUCAUCUUUUUAUCAAGAUGGUUCUCUCUCCUAUCUCAUAAUAAAUCUGCGUGUGUUGUGCGUGUGUGUGUGCGCGUGCGCGCAGCGGUGUGCUUUUAGUGAGUGAGUGCAUGUGUGCGCGUGUGAUGGUUUGAGACCUCAUCUGGGGUGAUGCAGGGAGAAAACAGGGCGUGGGGGGCCUGUCCUUUGUUUAUUUUGCAGAUAAAUCUCAUCUCUAAUCCGGAUGCAAAGCAGUGUCUUGUGCAGAGGAAAGGAAGCCCUUGUACCACCCCGAUGACACCCAUAUAAAUCACAGAUUUUAUUCCUCUGCUGUGAGGGGCAUUACAGAUCUGAGCAACGUUGCAGACUCUCAUUGGGUGAUGCUUCAUUACUUGGUGGAAAAUCCCCAGGGCCAAAACAUUAUUUAAAUGUGCUAUGAAAAUAAACGUGAUUUAUAGGUGUGUCAGCGGCUGAGACUUUCUUGCCCGUUACUGCCUGUGCUGUUGUGCAUCAGGAUUAGGGCCUCGAUUUAUCGCCAGUUCAAGCUACACACAUGCUCCACAUCAGGACAUUGUCUACAUCCCCAGCGGUUCCAGAAAGGGGACAGUGUUUGCUGGCUGGUGGGUUUCAGAUGGUCCUCGGUGCUUUUGGCUUUUACUGGCUGAGAACGUGCGUGCGGGCGUGAGCGUGCGUGUACCAGAGUCGAAUCUGGCCCACGUUCAUUUGGAGACCGUGGGCAACAACACUUUGUGCUCAGGUGCAUCCAUUCUCCAUGGCAGCAGAAUGGUGUUUCUGGUUAUAAAGAGAAAGAAGAAAGUGCAAUCUCCAUUUCGGCCCAGGGCUGGGGCCCACAUGUUUAGCUCAGAAAUCUCUGAAAAGCAGAUUUGGGGUAAUAAACAUCAGCAAGUUCUUCAGCCCAAAUGGGAUUUGAUUAGCAGGAAAAAGUGCAGUUGGGAUGUUUCCAUUACCAAAGGCAGAGAUACAGGGAAAGGCUUGUCUGAAAGGGCAAAGAAGCUCCCCCAGGUGCCUAAGCAGAGCCUUGGUGACGGCUGUCUUUCCCACUGGGCUUCCACGGACACUCAGAAAACGUGGGGCAGACUGUGAUUCCUACCCCACACCAUGGGGUGCUGUCCCAUUGCUCCAGACAAGGAGACUAGAGGUCGGAAGAGGUGGCAGAGCUGAGACUGGACACCACUGAUUGAGCAGGUGGCAGGUCCUGUACAGUCCUCACUAGAGCCCUGCCUUUAUGCCCAUUUUAAGGAUGAGGAAACUGAGGGCCACAGAGGUAGAACUGUCAUAGCUUGGAAAUUUCCAGACCUAGAGAAUUCAGGUCUUUUCCUUCCAGAAUCUCUCUUCUCUGGAUGUUCACGUAACUGGUGGCAAUUUGUGUUUCGCCAUUCUUAUCUCCGGUUCCACAUCCUCCGUUUUUCAAGA